Molecule: long non-coding RNA, 494 nt
Organism: Drosophila busckii
Lineage: Eukaryota; Metazoa; Arthropoda; Insecta; Diptera; Drosophilidae
Exons: 2
Source: RefSeq, a predicted model, not a curated record
CUGGCCUGAGUGCGAGCAUUUGGCCAAAAUAGUUGUUGGUUCGCAUGCAAAACGUCAAAAUCGCAUAAGCUAAAACAUUUUUAUACCAACGGCGCGUUUUUAAUUUUUUCUACACUACAAAAUACAUAGAGAAAAGCACAGCAUCUUAAGUAGCUGUUAAAUGUAAUCCGAAAUGCAUGUCAAGCCGUCCUUUUUACAAAUCAUCACAAUGAUCACAAUAUAAAAAUAUACAACUAUAACUACGACUACAGCUAAAACUACAACUACAACUAGGACGAAUACUUUUUCAAGCAAAUAUAAAUGUUCAAACGUAAAACUUUUAGCUUUUACUUAUAUAUUUAAUGAGAGUACAAUAAACAUAUACAUACAUACAAACAAUGAAGCGAUAAGUCCGAGGCGUAGCUUGUCUUUGGCUAAAACGAGUGAGAUUCAACCAAAAUGGCCGCCUUGUCUUUGGCCCACCUUUUGCGCGCGCGUGUGAAAUAAAACAAAAA